This 72-nucleotide transfer RNA is filed under the name Sphaerodactylus townsendi. RNAcentral describes it as "tRNA-Thr". It matches the Rfam family "tRNA". From Rfam's summary of the family: Transfer RNA (tRNA) molecules are approximately 80 nucleotides in length. Their secondary structure includes four short double-helical elements and three loops (D, anti-codon, and T loops). Lineage: Eukaryota; Metazoa; Chordata; Lepidosauria; Squamata; Sphaerodactylidae. The record is from RNAcentral.
GGGGUUGUGGCUCAUUGAUAGAGCAUUGGCUUUGUAUGCAGAAGGUUCCAGGUUCAAUACCUGGCAUAUCCA